AGUGAACGCUGGCGGUAGGCCUAACACAUGCCAGUCGAACGGCAGCACAGUAAGAGCUUGCUCUUACGGGUGGCGAGUGGCGGACGGGUGAGGAAUACAUCGGAAUCUACUUUUUCGUGGGGGAUAACGUAGGGAAACUUACGCUAAUACCGCAUACGACCUACGGGUGAAAGCAGGGGAUCUUCGGACCUUGCGCGAUUGAGUGAGCCGAUGUCGGAUUAGCUAGUUGGCGGGGUAAAGGCCCACCAAGGCGACGAUCCGUAGCUGGUCUGAGAGGAUGAUCAGCCACACUGGAACUGAGACACGGUCCAGACUCCUACGGGAGGCAGCAGUGGGGAAUAUUGGACAAUGGGCGCAAGCCUGAUCCAGCCACACCGCGUGGGUGAAGAAGGCCUUCGGGUUGUAAAGCCCUUUUGUUGGGAAAGAAAAGCAGCAGGUUAAUACCCCGCUGUUCUGACGGUACCCAAAGAAUAAGCACCGGCUAACUUCGUG
Molecule: ribosomal RNA, 492 nt
Filed under: uncultured bacterium
Lineage: Bacteria
Description: partial 16S ribosomal RNA
Rfam family: Bacterial small subunit ribosomal RNA
Source: RNAcentral